GAUCCACUACAAAGCUGGAGAAGCUGGAGACAUUUCCGAUGCCAAGCCACUCUUGGUUGAUGGACCUCAAUUUGAGGUUUUUGAGAGUCUCUCCUUCUGGGCUCUCCACUGAAGGAGCUCCACUCCUGAGCAGAAGAGAGCAGGACCCUGCUCGUCACGUUUAACAUUCUCCAGUGGUGGCUGAGCUGCGGUGUUCUGCAGAGUUCUGAAGGGCUUCGGGACUGGAGCCAGUUCAGACACGUUAAUUAAAGGAACAUUCCACAGGUGGACUCUUUCCUCCACGUCCCUCCUCGUUUAGUCCGGCCGUGUCAGAAAGAAGCCUGCUGUUCUACAGGCCGCGCCACGGCCCAGACUGAAGCUCACUGACGGGGUGACUGUGUGGAAAGUAUGAGAGUGAAGAUGAGUUACAGUAAAUGUUUGUUGGCAUUAUAAUUAUAAACAUGGUGACAUAGUGA
Molecule: long non-coding RNA, 455 nt
Organism: Astyanax mexicanus (Mexican tetra)
Lineage: Eukaryota; Metazoa; Chordata; Actinopteri; Characiformes; Acestrorhamphidae
Exons: 2
Source: RefSeq, a predicted model, not a curated record